GAUUCUGGCUCAGGAUGAACGCUAGCUACAGGCUUAACACAUGCAAGUCGAGGGGCAUCAUGUCGGUUGCUUGCAACCGAUGAUGGCGACCGGCGCACGGGUGAGUAACGCGUAUCCAACCUUCCCCUUAGUAGGGCAUAGCCCGUAGAAAUGCGGAUUAACACCCUAUGUUCUUCAUGGAUGGCAUCUGACGUGAAGCAAAGUUUACGCUAAGGGAUGGGGAUGCGUCUGAUUAGGUUGCAGGCGGGGUAACGGCCCACCUGGCCGACGAUCAGUAGGGGUUCUGAGAGGAAGGUCCCCCACAUUGGAACUGAGACACGGUCCAAACUCCUACGGGAGGCAGCAGUGAGGAAUAUUGGUCAAUGGGCGAGAGCCUGAACCAGCCAAGUAGCGUGCAGGACGACGGCCCUAUGGGUUGUAAACUGUCUUUUAUCAGGGGAUAAAGUCGGCUACGCGUAGCCGUUUGUAGGUACCUGAUGAAUAAGGACCGGCUAAUUCCGUGCCAGCCGCGGC
Molecule: ribosomal RNA, 513 nt
Filed under: uncultured bacterium
Lineage: Bacteria
Description: bacterial SSU rRNA
Rfam family: Bacterial small subunit ribosomal RNA
Source: RNAcentral